RNAcentral lists this ribosomal RNA (206 nucleotides) under uncultured Anoxybacillus sp. RNAcentral describes it as "partial 16S ribosomal RNA". It matches the Rfam family "Bacterial small subunit ribosomal RNA", at positions 1180 to 1382 of the family's 1533-position model. The record is from RNAcentral. Lineage: Bacteria; Bacillati; Bacillota; Bacilli; Caryophanales; Anoxybacillaceae.
UGACGUCAAAUCAUCAUGCCCCUUAUGACCUGGGCUACACACGUGCUACAAUGGGCGGUACAAAGGGUCGCGAACCCGCGAGGGGGAGCCAAUCCCAAAAAGCCGCUCUCAGUUCGGAUUGCAGGCUGCAACUCGCCUGCAUGAAGCCGGAAUCGCUAGUAAUCGCGGAUCAGCAUGCCGCGGUGAAUUACCGGUUCCCGGGCCUU